RNAcentral lists this ribosomal RNA (253 nucleotides) under uncultured bacterium. Its description in RNAcentral is "partial 16S ribosomal RNA". It matches the Rfam family "Bacterial small subunit ribosomal RNA", at positions 524 to 776 of the family's 1533-position model. The record is from RNAcentral.
GACGAACCGUGCGAACGUUAUUCGGAAUCACUGGGCUUAAAGCGUGUGUAGGCGGGUCGUUAAGUACCUUGUGAAAUCCCACGGCUCACCCGUGGAACUGCUGGGUAUACUGGCGAUCUUGGGCCAUUCAGGGGCAACUGGAACAAACGGUGGAGCGGUGAAAUGCGUAGAUAUCGAGAGGAACACCUGCGGCGAAGGCGGGUUGCUGGGCUGACACUGACGCUGAGGCGCGAAAGCUAGGGGAGCGAACGGG